RNAcentral lists this ribosomal RNA (497 nucleotides) under uncultured bacterium. Its description in RNAcentral is "partial 16S ribosomal RNA". It matches the Rfam family "Bacterial small subunit ribosomal RNA", at positions 28 to 507 of the family's 1533-position model. The record is from RNAcentral.
GAUGAACGCUGGCGGCGUGCCUAAUACAUGCAAGUCGAGCGAACAGACGAGGAGCUUGCUCCUCUGACGUUAACGGCGGACGGGUGAGUAACACGUGGAUAACCUACCUAUAAGACUGGGAUAACUUCGGGAAACCGGAGCUAAUACCGGAUAAUAUAUUGAACCGCAUGGUUCAAUAGUGAAAGACGGUUUUGCUGUCACUUAUAGAUGGAUCCGCGCCGCAUUAGCUAGUUGGUAAGGUAACGGCUUACCAAGGCAACGAUGCGUAGCCGACCUGAGAGGGUGAUCGGCCACACUGGAACUGAGACACGGUCCAGACUCCUACGGGAGGCAGCAGUAGGGAAUCUUCCGCAAUGGGCGAAAGCCUGACGGAGCAACGCCGCGUGAGUGAUGAAGGUCUUCGGAUCGUAAAACUCUGUCAUUAGGGAAGAACAAAUGUGUAAGUAACUAUGCACGUCUUGACGGUACCUAAUCAGAAAGCCACGGCUAACUACGUG